RNAcentral lists this ribosomal RNA (906 nucleotides) under uncultured archaeon. Its description in RNAcentral is "bacterial SSU rRNA". It matches the Rfam family "Archaeal small subunit ribosomal RNA", at positions 21 to 903 of the family's 1478-position model. The record is from RNAcentral.
CCCCACUGCUAUCGGGAUGGGACUAAGACAUGCUAGUCGUGCGUCUCCAAGCCAUGGCGGAGACGCGGCGCACAGCUCAGUAACACGUGGCUAACCUGCCCUUAGGACAGGGACAACCCCGGGAAACUGGGGCUAAUCCCUGAUAGGUGAGGGUUCCUGGAAUGGUCCCUCGCCGAAAGGGCGCCUAGACCAUGCUUCUAGGCGCUGCCCAAGGAUGGAGCCGCGGCCGAUCAGGUUGUUGGUGAGGCAACGGCUCACCAAGCCUUUAACCGGUACGGGCCGUGAGAGCGGGAGCCCGGAGAUGGGUACUGAGACAAGGACCCAGGCCCUACGGGGCGCAGCAGUCGCGAAAACUCCGCAAUACGCGAAAGCGUGACGGGGCUAUCCCGAGUGCCGUCCGCUGAGGAUGGCUUUUCCCUAGUGUAUAAAGCUGGGGGAAUAAGGAGAGGGCAAGCCUGGUGUCAGCCGCCGCGGUAAUACCAGCUCUCCGAGUGGUGGGGAUGCUUAUUGGGCCUAAAGCAUUCGUAGCCGGUUGGGCAAGUCCUCCGUUAAAUCCAGCGAUUCAAUCGUUGGACUGCGGGGGAUACUGCCCGGCUUGGGGGCGGAAGAGGCCGACGGUAUUCUCGGGGUAGGGGUGAAAUCCUAUAAUCCCGGGAGGACCACCAGUGGCGAAGGCUGUCGGCUAGAACGCGCCCGACGGUGAGGGAUGAAAGCUGGGGGAGCGAACCGGAUUAGAUACCCGGGUAGUCCCAGCUGUAAACGAUGCAGGCUAGGUGUUGGCGCGGCUACGUGCCGCUCCAGUGCCGCAAGGAAGCCGUUAAGCCUGCCGCCUGGGAAGUACGGCCGCAAGGCUGAAACUUAAAGGAAUUGGCGGGGGAGCACCACAAGGGGUGAAGCUUGCGGUUU